This 266-nucleotide long non-coding RNA is filed under the name Homo sapiens (human). Its description in RNAcentral is "HSALNT0103131". The record is from RNAcentral. Lineage: Eukaryota; Metazoa; Chordata; Mammalia; Primates; Hominidae.
CUAACCGGCCACACGAAUGCGCUGCUGUUUUAAAGGAAACCAUAUAUAAAUUCGUUGAUAUUUUUGUUUUUCUAAAUAAAACAGAACUUUUUUCUUUCUUACUCCUUUCAAGAGACCUUUGAGACUAUAUUUACAGACUUUAGCAAGGAAGUCCAAACUAUUUUAACUCUGAGCCAGACUAGAAAAUUCACGGAGAAAUUUUUGACAGAGGAUGUGGAAAAAGCGCUGUAAUAGGAUUUUCAAUGGUUGGUUCAAGACAACGCCGC